GGGGGAAUGCGCGUGCACAGACACGAUCAUGCGUGGGUGACUAGGCUGGCUCUCACAGGAUGGAGGGGGAGAGUCCACGUGGCCAUCUGCAGCUGGACACUGAGGACACUGCAGCUGCCCAGCCACGAAGCCGCAACCACAGAAUGAGAGAUGAGGCCCAGAGCCCCCUGGAGAGUCGCCGCUCCGAGGCCACCCGAAGGCUGAGGAUGCUGGGGUCUGAAGGCCACGGGCAAUGGCGGCUGCAGUGACAAAUCUCACCAGCCUACAGGACAAGGAGGAGUUUGGGUUGGCAGGAAGGAGGCCAGGCGAGCACAGCUGAGGAGCUGCAGCCAACCCUACGCUUGGCUCUGCGGGUCCCAGGUUGCUGGCUGGAGUCUG
Molecule: long non-coding RNA, 378 nt
Filed under: Heterocephalus glaber (naked mole-rat)
Lineage: Eukaryota; Metazoa; Chordata; Mammalia; Rodentia; Bathyergidae
Description: lncRNA (ENSHGLG00100049471.1)
Source: RNAcentral